Molecule: ribosomal RNA, 767 nt
Filed under: Ditylenchus brevicauda
Lineage: Eukaryota; Metazoa; Nematoda; Chromadorea; Rhabditida; Anguinidae
Description: SSU rRNA
Rfam family: Eukaryotic small subunit ribosomal RNA
Source: RNAcentral
UCGCAAAUUACCCCACUCUCGGCAAGAGGAGGUAGUGACGAGAAAUAACGAGACCGUUCUCACAAGAGGCCGGUCAUCGGAAUGGGUACAAUCCAAACCCUUGGCACGAGUAUCUAUGAGAGGGCAAGUCUGGUGCCAGCAGCCGCGGUAAUUCCAGCUCUCAAAAUGCAUAGAACCAUUGCUGCGGUUAAAAAGCUCGUAGUUGGAUCUGCGCCGGCGGGCGAGUCCCCCCUCACCGGGGCGGCACCCGCUCCCGCCGGCUAUGCGGCGGUGCUGGUGGGCGGCCCAUCAAAGCCGCCCAUCCCACCCCCACGUUUACUUUGAACAAAUCAGAGUGCUCAGCACAGGCGUCUCGCCUGGAUGUUCGUGCAUGGAAUAAUGGAAGAGGAUUUCGGUCCUGCUUUUAUUGGUUUUGAGCGACCGAGAUAAUGGUUAACAGAGACAAACGGGGGCAUUCGUAUUGCUGCGUGAGAGGUGAAAUUCUUGGACCGCAGCAAGACGGACAACAGCGAAAGCAUUUGCCAAGAGUGUCUUCAUUAAUCAAGAACGAAAGUCAGAGGUUCGAAGGCGAUCAGAUACCGCCCUAGUUCUGACCGUAAACGAUGCCAACUAGCGAUCCGCCGGCGGAUUCCAAACGCCCUGGUGGGGAGCUUCCCGGAAACGAUUAAGUCUUCCGGUUCCGGGGGAAGUAUGGUUGCAAAGCUGAAACUUAAAGGAAUUGACGGAAGGGCACCACCAGGAGUGGAGCCUGCGGCUUAAUUUGACUA